This 413-nucleotide non-coding RNA is filed under the name Pongo abelii (Sumatran orangutan). The record is from RNAcentral. Lineage: Eukaryota; Metazoa; Chordata; Mammalia; Primates; Hominidae.
AGCAAAGCUGCACCGCCAUUUCCUGUGCUUGGGAACUGGAGGCAAGCUACCGCACAUCAACACGGUAGAGACUGUGACGUUUGCUCAACAUCAAGUGAAGGCAUUUGGGAGUAAGUUUCACAACAGAAGACAGGCUCAGAAGCAGAUCAUCUGAGUCGGGGGAGAGAGGCAGCAACUAGUCAGGCUCCCUCGAAUCCCAGGCUGUGAUUAUUAUCUGCAGCCUCUGUCACCCAGGAUGAAAGGGGAUGGAAAAGCCGUGCAUAUCCUUGGUGACAAAGCCACUCCUGCUCUUAAAGGCUGGAGCAGGACGUCUGACACAAUCCCAGGUCUCCGUGGAGGCAGGGGCAUGGCCGGCAGCUGUAGACCACAGCCUCUGGGCUCUGGCGUGGAGGAAGAAAAGGAAACCAGCACAG